Molecule: non-coding RNA, 152 nt
Organism: Tinamus guttatus (white-throated tinamou)
Lineage: Eukaryota; Metazoa; Chordata; Aves; Tinamiformes; Tinamidae
Source: RefSeq, a predicted model, not a curated record
ACCCAGGAGAAGCUGAUCAAGUACUGCCAGUCCAAAGGGAUUGUUGUGACAGCAUACAGUCCUCUUGGCUCCCCAGACAGGCCAUGGGCUAAGCCAGAGGAUCCUUCCCUUCUGGAUGAACCCAAGAUUAAAGAGAUCGCGGCCAAGCACAA